UGGGGAAGAAUCGCGACCUU
RNAcentral lists this small nuclear RNA (20 nucleotides) under Arabidopsis thaliana (thale cress). RNAcentral describes it as "snRNA_16670". The record is from RNAcentral. Lineage: Eukaryota; Viridiplantae; Streptophyta; Magnoliopsida; Brassicales; Brassicaceae.